Hemicordylus capensis (graceful crag lizard) is the source of this 1126-nucleotide long non-coding RNA. RefSeq lists it as uncharacterized. The record is from RefSeq and is a predicted model, not a curated record. The transcript has 3 exons. NCBI's taxonomy places the organism in Eukaryota, Metazoa, Chordata, Lepidosauria, Squamata, Cordylidae.
AGGAGGAAGGUACAGGCUCUCAGCACAGCACAGGGCUGCAGGGCAGAGGGUGUUCACAGUGCUCUGGUGGGCAGCCAGCGCUGACCACUCUACCUCCUGGCUGGAGAGCUGCAGGGUCAGGGACUGGGUAGAGCUUCAGAGAGACCUGUUUCAGCUGAAAAGCCCCUUGGAAGCUCCACCCACCCACUGAACAGCUGAGAGUCAGGGAGAGGGAACUGUAGCAGCAUCUCCUGUCCUGCAGGGAGCCUUUGGAUAGCAGGCAAGCCUGCGUGCAGCUCCUGCAAGCUGCAGCCUUACAGGUCAACUGAAUUGGGGGAUGGGAGGAAGGUCAAUUUUUUUCAGGGCAGGCUGCUCCCCCAGCGUGGGGCCCAGGGUGAUUGCCCUGGUCGCCCCACCUUAAGGAUAGGCCUGGUUAGAAGAGCCGGAUGGUAAGGAAGGUGACAGAGAUUCCCAUGGAAAAGCCAUAGGAAACAAAGAAACCUGUGAUGUUUCUGCCACCAGGAGGUCACUAGUAUGCAAUGUGUCUUGUCACUUUGCAUCUUUUGCAGGAUCAAGGGAUUAGCUGAAUCAGAAUAACAGGGUACACUUAAUGUGCAUUCCAGGUUGUAGACUUAGGUUUAGACUGAGUAGGUUUGGAAGAUGGAAAGGAGUGCCUAAACUGAUGAAAGAUUUGGGAAUGAAAGAAAUGAUCCAUCUGAGAGUGAGAAGACGAUCUUGAGGACUAUGGGCGCUGAGCCCUAAAAGGCCUGUUGUACCUUGAGGAAGUAGCGGAGAAGCACAGAAGACAAAACUCUCCAACUAGCCCGAGAUGUAGCUCUCUCCAUGGACGAUGAAAAAUUCAGGAGUUAAGGGCUAGCCAUGUGAGGAGCUACCACUCAGAGAGGGAAGAGGAAUUUUGCAAACUCCUGAUUAGACCUUCACUGUCCAAAUGAAGCCCAGCUGUGUGAUGGCCAGAUCUCACCAAGAAAAACUGCAAAUCCCAACAUUACAGUGCCACUCUGAUUAAAUGUUAUGGUAAUUUCGAACCUUGAAAUUCAGGGAUAAAUUCAUCAGGAAAGUAUUCUCUAAACCUUUCCCCAAAAAUCUUGGAGGAAAUAAAUUAAUAAAUAAUGUUAUAAAAAGUUAA